RNAcentral lists this long non-coding RNA (1165 nucleotides) under Anas platyrhynchos platyrhynchos (common mallard). Its description in RNAcentral is "lncRNA (ENSAPLG00000027608.1)". Lineage: Eukaryota; Metazoa; Chordata; Aves; Anseriformes; Anatidae. The record is from RNAcentral.
ACAGCCCCAGGUCUGCGGGGACGGCAGCGGACGCUCGGACCCCGCACCGCGGGAGGGGGGCGCGGGGGGGUGGGGGGCGCGGGGAGGGCAGGGGGGCAUGGGGACAUGGGGACAUGGGGAUGAGGGACGUGAGAACAUUGGGAUAUGGGGACAUUGGGAUGAGGGGCAAGAGAACACUGGGAUAUGGGGACAAGGGACAUGGGGACAUUGGGACAUGGGGACACAGGGACACGAGGGCAUUGGGAUGAGGGGCAUGGACACAAGGGACAGGGGGACAGGAGAUGUGGGGACAUGGGGAUGAGGGACGUGAGAACAUACGGAUAUGGGGACAAGGGACGUGGGGAUGUGGGACAUGGGGACAUGGGGACACGGGGACACAGGGACACGGGGACAUGGGGACACAGGGACAGGAGAUGUGGGGACAUUGGGAUGAGAACACAAGAACAUUGGGAUAUGGGGACAAGGGACAUGCGGACACAGACAUGGGGGCAUUGGGAUGACGGGCAUGGACACAAGGGAUGUGGGGACACAGGGACAUGGGGACAUAGGACAUGAGAACAUGGGGACAAGAGGUGUGGGGACAUUGGGAUGAGGGAAAUGGACACAAGGGACAUGGGGACGAGGGACAUGGAGAUGUGGGGACACAGGGAUGAGGGGCAUGAGAACAUUGGGAUGCAGGGACAAGGGACAUGGGGACGUGUGCAUGCAGGGGACGAGAACACAGGGACAGGAUGGGGACACGGGGACAAGAGACACGGAAGCAGGUACGUGCAGGGGAUGGGGACAAGGGACACAAGUGUGCAAGGGACAGGGGGACAAGGGAGUGCGCGUGCGCAUGGGACAGGGACAUGGGGACAUGGGGACAUGGGGACACGGCAGCUCGUACAUGCAUGGAGGGGACACGGGGACAGGACAGGGACAGGAUGGGGACAUGGGGACAAAGUGUCCCCAUGCAAAGCAUCCCUGUGCCAAGUGUCCCCAUGCCAUUGUCCCCGUGCCACUGUCCCUGUGCAAAGCGUCCCCAUGCAAAGUGUCCCUGUGCUGGCAUCCCUGUGCCACUGUCCCCAUGGCAGUGUCCCCAUGCAACGUGUCCCUGUGUCACUGUCCCCAUGUCAUUGUCCCUGUCCCCAUGUCACCGUCCCCGUGCAACGUGUCCCCAUGCCAC